Puntigrus tetrazona (Sumatra barb) is the source of this 1430-nucleotide long non-coding RNA. RefSeq lists it as uncharacterized. The transcript has 3 exons. Lineage: Eukaryota; Metazoa; Chordata; Actinopteri; Cypriniformes; Cyprinidae. The record is from RefSeq and is a predicted model, not a curated record.
CAGUCUGGAGGUUUUGCAUGUGAGCUGAUCAGCACAGGAUGUCACAGCCCGAACAGCGGUAGGCGGGGUGGGGGGAUGAUGCAGAGUGUUGGAGGUACUGCUGCUUUGCCUACCUCGGUAACGUGUGUGGGUAUGCUGUCUGCGAGCGAGGCCUGGCAUGGGGGGUUGGGGCGAAGGCACACAUCUGCCACAUGAGCGUCCUCAAACAACCUGCUGAAGAUGCGUAUGUCACGCUGCAUAAAGUUUUGGAGUUAUUGAUUCUUCCUGAUAACGCCCGUAGUAAAAGAGGUUACGUAUUUAAUUAGCUUUUUUGGUGUAGCGUAGUUUUUCAUUUUAGGCGUUACCGCAUUGCCACUAUUUUCAGAAGCGACUGUGUCUUUAACUACUCGUGUUAAUAUUAUAUUUGACAGUACACCUUUCUGCGAUGACACGUGUAAUUAUUUUCUGUGAUUACAUUGUCGAUUCCGUGCCUACACCUUAAACCUAACCAUAUGCCGCCUAACCUGUCCAUAACCUCAACCACACCCAAGCUUUUUCUGCAAUUCAGUUCAACACGAAGACAACAGAUUUGAAAAUUGACUUUUUUAAAGGAACAAAUUCGUCUACAAGAGCAGCUGAAAGCAGCAGCGGUCCUCACGGAAAUUAGCACAGUCACUUGGGGAAAAAUCUUUAGUGACUCAGAGACAGAGACACCUUGGAGGGCUAAUAGAGUUUUCGAGUUUUAGUUUAUGAGGAAAACCACUCGCACAAAACAACAGAAAAGCAUAAAGGAGGCCACCGCGCAUCUAGUUUAACCAGUUAAGAGAUACGGGACGUGCUGAAGGAAGGAGGAGCUGAUAAGGAGCUAAAAAACCAAAGGGAGGAAAGAAUUCGGUGUUUUGGAAUUUUUCUGUUUUUUUCCCCCCUCAAGCAAAGAACGUUCUCUGAGUCCUGCGCCACCUGGUGGUGAAAACGUUCCUCCGGAGCGAGUUACGCUCUCGUUCUGUAUCUGUACAGUGUUCACUAUGUAGGUUAAGACCGAGCCGUUCUUCAGAGCGUCUGCUUCGUCCUCCAAUUACAAACAUCACACAGAUCACGUUUAACCUCUAAAGCCUCCGUUCGAAGCAAUAACAGUGACUCAUACUUUUUCUCAUUUUCUUGCUUCAGAGAACGCAGAGCGGACUGGAAGGCAGGAACGCCGAAAAUGUGAAAAUAUGAGUCUUUUUUUUUUUUUUUCUCCUUCGUAAUCCCACCCCUUUAGCACCCUCUAAACCUAUCAUGAACUAGUUUUCGAAACAGCCCAUUUGUUGUUGUCAUUGUCUUAAAGUGUCAAGGGAGCGGGGUCGAUCGUUAUCAGAGAAAUGCGGUUCUCCGUGUUCCGUCCCAAGAGUUCAGAUCCGCAAACCGAACAUGCAACAAAGAUUCGCUUAUGUUUUUGUUGCCUUUAAAAA